This 494-nucleotide ribosomal RNA is filed under the name uncultured bacterium. RNAcentral's name for it is "partial 16S ribosomal RNA". It matches the Rfam family "Bacterial small subunit ribosomal RNA", at positions 30 to 507 of the family's 1533-position model. The record is from RNAcentral.
AUUGAACGCUGGCGGCAUGCUUUACACAUGCAAGUCGAACGGCAGCGGGGAGGAGCUUGCUUCUCUGCCGGCGAGUGGCGAACGGGUGAGUAAUACAUCGGAACGUGUCGAGCAGAGGGGGAUAACCACCCGAAAGGGUGGCUAAUACCGCAUAAAUUCUGAGGAAGAAAGCUGGGGACCUGGGAAUAGGCCUAGCGCUUUUUGAGCGGCCGAUGUCGGAUUAGCCAGUUGGUGAGGUAAAGGCUCACCAAGGCGAAGAUCUGUAGCGGGUCUGAGAGGAUGAUCCGCCACACUGGGACUGAGACACGGCCCAGACUCCUACGGGAGGCAGCAGUGGGGAAUUUUGGACAAUGGGGGCAACCCUGAGCCAGCCAUGCCGCGUGUAUGAAGAAGGCCUUAGGGUUGUAAAGUACUUUUGUUAGGGAAGAAAAGUCAGCUGUGAAUAAUGGCUGAUACUGGCGGUACCUAAAGAAUAAGCACCGGCUAACUACGUG